UACGAAGGGGGCUAGCGUUGCUCGGAAUCACUGGGCGUAAAGGGUGCGUAGGCGGGUCUUUAAGUCCGGGGUGAAAUCCUGGAGCUCAACUCCAGAACUGCCUUUGAUACUGAGGAUCUUGAGUUCGGGAGAGGUGAGUGGGACUGCGAGUGUAGAGGUGAAAUUCGUAGAUAUUCGCAAGAACACCAGUGGCGAAGGCGGCUCACUGGCCCGAUACUGACGCUGAGGCACGAAAGCGUGGGGAGCAAACAGG
Molecule: ribosomal RNA, 253 nt
Filed under: uncultured bacterium
Lineage: Bacteria
Description: partial 16S ribosomal RNA
Rfam family: Bacterial small subunit ribosomal RNA
Source: RNAcentral